UGAAAAAAAAAAAAUUACAAAAGUAUAAAUCAGACAGACACCUAUUAUUGAUGGUCUUUUUCAUAGAAGUGCUAUCAGUGCUGUAUUUUUUUUAUUUUUUUUCAGUCACUCUUCCCAGUAUUAUACAAAUGGUAGUAUUUUUAGUCAGCAAUAUAACUAUAACGGUCUGA
This 170-nucleotide non-coding RNA is filed under the name Heterosigma akashiwo. The record is from RNAcentral. Lineage: Eukaryota; Raphidophyceae; Chattonellales; Chattonellaceae.